CGCAUCUGUGCAUGCAGCAUAUCAAUAAGCGGAGGAAAAGAAACUAACAAGGAUUCCCCUAGUAACGGCGAGUGAAGCGGGAAGAGCUCAAAUUUGAAAUCUUAAAGGGUUUCCCUUUACGAAUUGUAGUUUAAAGAAGUGUUUUCUGUUGAGGUUUUGGUAAAAGUUCUUUGGAAUAGGACAUCAUAGAGGGUGAGAAUCCCGUAUUUGACCUUUACUUUCAACUUUGUGAUACACUUUCAAAGAGUCGGAUUGUUUGGGAAUGCAGUCCAAAGUGGGUGGUAAAUUUCAUCUAAAGCUAAAUAUUGGCGAGAGACCGAUAGCGAACAAGUACCGUGAGGGAAAGAUGAAAAGAACUUUGAAAAGAGAGUUAAACAGUACGUGAAAUUGUCAAAAGGGAAGCGUUUGACACCAGUGUUGUUUUUCUGAAAAUCAAUUAAAGAAUUGUUUAUGCUAAGCUGUCUAGACUUUAUCAGCUAACUGUUUAGUUUUGAGCUUUUCUUUAAUGCACUUUUCAGUUAACAAGUCAACAUCAAUUUCUUUUGCUGUAAAAAAGCUUGAGGAAGGUGGCUUGAGAUUCGUCUUAAGUGUUUAUAGCCUCUUGCCUAUGCAGUCGGAGAGAUUGAGGUCUGCAGCGUAGAUCCUUCGGGGCUAAAUGCAUUUGUGCUAAGUUAUAGCAUUUUAUAGACAACUUGUUGACUAUGAUUUGUCUUGUAGCUUACUCGCUUAUGUUAUUUUACCUACGCUUAGGAUGUUGAAUCUGUGCGAGACUAC
This 774-nucleotide ribosomal RNA is filed under the name uncultured Neocallimastigales. RNAcentral's name for it is "partial large subunit ribosomal RNA". It matches the Rfam family "Eukaryotic large subunit ribosomal RNA", at positions 26 to 644 of the family's 3401-position model. The record is from RNAcentral. Lineage: Eukaryota; Fungi; Neocallimastigomycota; Neocallimastigomycetes; Neocallimastigales.